GCAGCCUUGGUGCGCAAGGACCUGAGCGGGCAGUCUAGCUCGGGCGAGGUGGGCAAAAUGUGGGCUGGCCGCGUCUUACAUGCUGCGCUUUCCGGGGCCUCCCGCGGCCGCCGGGCGCAGUCGGCGCUGGCUCAGUUGCGUGGCAUCCUGAAGGAGGAGCUGGAAAGCAUCCGUAGAGCUGGCACCUGGAAGAGCGAGCGGGUCAUCACGUCCAGUCAGGGGCCGCACAUCCACGUGGACGGCGCCCCGGGAGGAAUUAUUAACUUCUGUGCCAACAACUACCUGGGCCUGAGCAGCCACCCUGAGGUCAUCCAGGCAGGUCUGCAGACCUUAAAGGAGUUUGGAGCUGGCCUUAGUUCUGUCCGUUUCAUCUGUGGCACCCAGAGCAUCCACAAAGAUCUAGAAGCAAAGAUAGCCCGCUUCCACCAACGGGAGGAUGCCAUCCUCUAUCCCAGCUGUUUUGAUGCCAACACCGGCCUCUUUGAGGCCCUGCUGACCUCGGAGGACGCAGUCCUGUCGGAUGAGUUGAACCACGCCUCCAUCAUUGACGGCAUCCGUCUGUGCAAGGCCCACAAAUACCGCUACCGCCACCUGGAUAUGGCUGAUCUGGAAGCCAAGCUGCAGGAGGCCCAGAAGCAUCGGCUGCGCCUUGUGGCCACUGAUGGGGCCUUUUCCAUGGAUGGUGACAUCGCACCCCUGCAGGAAAUCUGCCGCCUUGCCUCUCAAUACGGUGCCUUGGUCUUUGUGGACGAAAGCCACGCCACUGGCUUCCUGGGGCCCACAGGACGGGGCACAGAUGAGCUGCUGGGCGUGAUGGACCAAGUCACCAUCAUCAACUCCACACUGGGGAAGGCACUGGGUGGAGCAUCAGGUGCCUGCUGGCUUGGGCCCCUGGGCUCCCUUUAUCUGCAUGCACGGCCCUGGGGGGGUCUUGAGGGAGGUGGGAAGGGGAGACCUGGGGCUGCAGGGAAGAAGACAGCAUGGACUGUCCUCUCAGGAGGGCCAUGGGGUAAGCUCUGGCUCCUUGUGCUCACCCUUGUUCUCAGGGGGCUACACGACCGGGCCUGGGGCCCUGGUGUCCCUGCUACGGCAGCGGGCCCGGCCCUACCUCUUCUCCAACAGUCUGCCACCUGCUUCUGUCGGCUGUGCCUCCAAGGCCCUGGACCUGCUCAUGGAGAGCAAUGCCAUCGUCCAGUCUAUGGCGGCCAAGACCCUGCGCUCCCCAACCAAGGAUCGAACCCACGCCCCCUGCAUUGGAAGUAUGGAGUAUUAGUCACUGGACUCCCAGGGAAGUCUCCCCGGUGCAUUUCUUUGCAAAUAAUGCUGCAUUCCCCCUUCUUGUACAGUCCUGUCUUUCCGCCUCCCUAACUGGUCUUCCUGUUCCUCUGCCUCUUUCCCCAUCUGCCUCUCUGGGUCAGCAUCUCUGUCUUUGUUGGUCCCUCCUGCAGACUUGGUCACAAGCCUUGGGUCACAUCCAUGUCCAUCAGGAGUGGAUGUGGUUACUCCACAGUCUCCCAAUUCCCAGUAACACCCAUCUCAUGCCCACAGAUUCCGCAGUCAGAUGGAAGCUGCUGGCUUCACCAUCUCAGGAGCCAAUCACCCCAUCUGCCCUGUGAUGCUGGGUGAUGCUCGGCUGGCCUUAAACAUAGCAGAUGACAUGCUUAAGAGAGGCAUCUUUGUCAUUGGGUUCAGUUACCCUGUGGUCCCCAAGGACAAGGCCCGGAUCCGAGUCCAGAUCUCAGCAGUGCACAGCGAGGAGGACAUUGACCGCUGCGUGGAGGCCUUCGUGGAGGUGGGGCGACUGCAUGGGGCACUGCCUUGAGUUCUGGGUAGUGACCAGCAGAGCUGAGGUCCCCCUCCCAACACAGUGAAAAGGGGGGCCUCUGAUCAGCCCAGGCCAGAGGCUCUGAGCUCUGUCAUUCCUGGCGCCAGGCUGGCCGGAGGCCUGUGCUUGUGGGUGUGAGGUUAAAACAACAGUGUGGCAAUCGGCUGUGA
Non-coding RNA from Odocoileus virginianus texanus, 1995 nucleotides. The record is from RefSeq and is a predicted model, not a curated record. Lineage: Eukaryota; Metazoa; Chordata; Mammalia; Artiodactyla; Cervidae.